This is a long non-coding RNA of Cynoglossus semilaevis (tongue sole), 279 nucleotides long. RefSeq lists it as uncharacterized. The transcript has 2 exons. NCBI's taxonomy places the organism in Eukaryota, Metazoa, Chordata, Actinopteri, Pleuronectiformes, Cynoglossidae. The record is from RefSeq and is a predicted model, not a curated record.
CAGGUCGUCUCUUUGCUGCACAAAUACAGAUAUGUACGAGCAGCCGCCUCUAGAACAGCUGGACUGGAGUGGAUGUCCAAAGCAGCCUGUAUCUCUGUCAGCAGGCUGGACAAGACCUGAGGCUGAAAGCCCAUGUCAUGGACAGACCUGUGUGAUAUCAUCAACAGGACAGUCAGGGACAAAAAACUGGGGGAUCUUCAUCAGGGAGGCCACGGCGUCACAGUGACCUGAAAACUGCACAAACAGAAAAAACAGAGACUUAAAAAAAAAAAAAAAAAA